This is a long non-coding RNA of Bolinopsis microptera, 1350 nucleotides long. RefSeq lists it as uncharacterized. Lineage: Eukaryota; Metazoa; Ctenophora; Tentaculata; Lobata; Bolinopsidae. The transcript has 3 exons. The record is from RefSeq and is a predicted model, not a curated record.
AGAUGGAGCAGCAUGGCAUGGGAAAUGAACCGUUGCACUUAUUCAUUUUUGCUGCAGCUUUUCUCAAUGGCUGUGAAAGUGUUACUCCUCAAUCAGGCGGGAAACAUCCUGUCGAUACAACUGACCGGGUCAUAAAGGCUUCUUCUGAGCCUGAAACUGAACUAAAGGUCGAGUACAGGACGGAAUUGAAGCGUGAUUCAGCAGGUUCACAGUUCUACAAAAACUGUGAAGAGAGUGUGGAAUUGCAAACAAAUGAAAUGUCCCUGCUACCAGAGAGAGGGAAUUUUGUUCAAGCUGAGAUUGUCGUGGGAUCUUGUAAAGGUUUAUGUUUAAACGUAUACAACACAACGUUUCUCAGAGAUGGUAUUCGAAUGUCUAAGGACAGCAUUCUUUCCAUCGUGCUGAAACCAAGACCAAUGGCUAAUGCGUCUGCGCAACUUGAAAACAUGACUGUUUCCAUCACAGUUCAGUUUAUUGACGCUACAACUGCUAAUGUUACCCUGAGAGUCAAAGCAACUAAUGACGAAACCAAAUGGAAUGAGACCCAUGUCUUAUUACAGAUACCUGAGCUUUAUCUGGUGUCUGCAUUUGGCCUAAGACCUCGCCAAUAUGAAUCUGGGGUGAAUUGUACUGAUCAACUGACCCUCCUCAACUUAGGAAUGGAUACACCUGGUCUUUCAAAAAUUGUGAUUUGGAUUAUAUCAGUAUCGCUAACACUCACGGUGGUUGGAAUAACUUUGCUUUGUUAUUUUGGGCGUCGAUAUUUCGAGUGUCUUGUUUAUAAGGUCGUUACGGACUCUACUGAGGUUUAAACACCAUUCUAGUUCAGAUAACAUAAAAUUAUAUCCACUUUUAUCAGAUAGUUGUCUGUUGUAUGAUCAAUUUGGGCAUCAAACAUGAGAUCUGUUAGUCUGAUUCCAUUUAUUUGGUUGUAACAAACUUAAAUUAUGAUAUUUUUUAUAUACCUCUCAUACCAUUCAUCUCCGAAAACUCUUUCUAGUCAUCUUUUAUCAUUUCUUUUCUUGAUAUGAUAUUUAGAAUACUAAUUUCUUAAUGUUUCAUGAAUAUAAUGAGGAUUGAGGAAUGAGGAGCCAUUCUCUUCAUGUGUAUAUUUGUGGAAUACUGUAUAAGAGGGAUCAGAAUAUUGUGAACAAGAAUUUUUUCCCGAUCCAUGACUUGUGCCGAAGGCACAAAAGAGUCAAGGACAAGGGUUAGCGAUCAAGGUUUUUUUUUGUAUAUGGUAGCUUGCGACCGUGCGUGCGUACGUGCCCUCGCCCCGGCCCAGUCUAGUUAUCGCCCACGUGUCUGCCUGCGCAAAGUUAUUUUGCGCGAUCAUCUGAAUUAAACAAU